UGGGGUAUGGUUCAGUUGGUAGAAUACUUGCCUAGCAUGCAUGAAGCCCUGGGUUCUAGCCCCAGCAUCUCAU
RNAcentral lists this transfer RNA (73 nucleotides) under Mesocricetus auratus (golden hamster). It matches the Rfam family "tRNA". From Rfam's summary of the family: Transfer RNA (tRNA) molecules are approximately 80 nucleotides in length. Their secondary structure includes four short double-helical elements and three loops (D, anti-codon, and T loops). Further hydrogen bonds mediate the characteristic L-shaped molecular structure. tRNAs have two regions of fundamental functional importance: the anti-codon, which is responsible for specific mRNA codon recognition, and the 3' end, to which the tRNAs corresponding amino acid is attached (by aminoacyl-tRNA synthetases). tRNAs cope with the degeneracy of the genetic code in two manners: having more than one tRNA (with a specific anti-codon) for a particular amino acid; and 'wobble' base-pairing, i.e. permitting non-standard base-pairing at the 3rd anti-codon position. Lineage: Eukaryota; Metazoa; Chordata; Mammalia; Rodentia; Cricetidae. The record is from Rfam by way of RNAcentral.